Molecule: RNA transcript, 3066 nt
Organism: Sinocyclocheilus grahami
Lineage: Eukaryota; Metazoa; Chordata; Actinopteri; Cypriniformes; Cyprinidae
Gene name: dnaJ homolog subfamily C member 10
Exons: 24
Source: RefSeq, a predicted model, not a curated record
GAUUUAUUAUUCUCGUUCGGCCGCUUGCUUCACACUGCUGCAGACGCCGGUGAUUCGGGAGUAAUAUCAUGAAUUAGGCGAGAACUGCAGGAGUAAUAAAGAAUAUUUAACAAAAGGCAUCUUCAUUGAGGAGGAUCACCACUCUCCUGUAAGCAGCUCUCCAACCCUGAGAAGCUGAAGAUCUGCAGUCUGCACCAACAACAAUGGAGAUGUUCCAGAAUCCUCAGAGACCUUCUAGGAAGUUGUUUCCGUUUGCUUUCAUCGCAGUGUGGCUUUUCGUUACCAUUUCCUCUGAUGAAGAUUACUACAAGCUGCUAGGUAUUUCAAGAGAGGCCAGCACUCGUGAGAUUCGGCAGGCUUUCAAAAAGCUUGCUCUCACAAUGCAUCCGGAUAAAAACCCGAAUGAUGCAACGGCCCACGAGAAGUUCUUGAAGAUCAAUCGGGCCUACGAGGUGUUAAAGGAUGAGGACUUGAGGAAGAAAUAUGACAAGUAUGGAGAGAAGGGCCUGCAAGAUGAACAGCAAGGAGGAAGAUAUGAAAGCUGGAACUAUUACAGAUAUGAUUUUGGAAUUUAUGAUGAUGAUCCAGAAAUUACUACACUAGACAGAGGGGACUUUGAUGCAGCUGUAAAUUCUGGCGAGGUCUGGUUUGUGAAUUUCUAUUUCCCACGCUGCUCGCACUGUCACGAUCUUGCCCCCACGUGGCGGGAGUUUGCUAACGAAAUGGACGGUGUGAUUCGAAUCGGCGCUGUGAACUGCGGUGAUAAUGGCAUGUUGUGCCGUAGUAAAGGCAUCAACAGCUACCCCAGCCUCUAUGUGUUCAGAGCGGGAAUGAAGCCAGAGAAAUACUAUAGCGACAGAACAAAAUCAAGCCUGACCACAUUUGCAAUGCAGUUUGUGAAGAGCAAAGUAACAGAGCUAUGGCAAGGGAAUAUUUUUAAUGAGAUUGAUCGAGCAUUUGCCGAAAGAAUCGGCUGGUUGAUAUCUUUCUGCGCUGACACUGGAGAUUGUCUGGAACCUCAAACAAGGCUGAAGCUUGCUGGAAUGUUGAAUGGUCUGGUCAAUGUAGGAUGGAUGGAUUGCUCCAAACAGGCAGAUCAGUGUGACAGCUUUGAGAUCACCACUAGCACUACUGUCCUCUUUCCCCCUGGCAGUUCCCUUGCUCAGAAAGGCAGCGUAAUGUUUAUCCAGAGUUUGGAUACUAAAGAAAUAUAUGCACAAGUGUUGCAGCAUCUGCCUGACUUGGAGAUUCUUACAAAGAGCAGCUUUGAGCAUAAAUUGGCUCAUCACCAAUGGCUCAUCAGUUUCUCCUUUGGACAAAAUGAUCUGGCAUCACAUGAAUAUAAAAAACUCAAAGCUCUUCUGAAAGGCUCUCACAUACAGGUGGGGAAGGUGGACUGUGUCGCAGAUUCAGAGCUGUGUGCUUCUCUGUAUAUACAGAAGCCCUGUGUGGCUGUUUUUAAAGGAGUUGGAACUCAUGACUUUGAGAUUCACCAUGGUAAGGAUGCCCUGUACAAUGUUGUGGCCUUUGCAAAAGAGAGCGUGAAUGCCCACGUCACCACGCUGAGGCCUGAGAACUUCCCCAGCCAUGAGAAAGAGCCCUGGCUGGUUGAUUUCUUUGCACCUUGGUGUCCGCCAUGUCGAGCUCUUCUCCCCGAGUUGAGAAAAGCCUCCGUCCAACUCUUUGGACAGCUGAAGUUUGGGACUCUGGACUGUACUGUGCACGAGAGGCUCUGCAAUAUGUACAACAUUCAUGCAUAUCCAACAACUGUCAUCUUCAAUAAGUCCAGCAUCCAUGAGUAUGAAGGCCAUCAUUCUGCAGACGGUAUCCUGGAGUUCAUAGAGGACCUGGUGAACCCUGUGGUGGUGACUUUGACCUCAGAGUCAUUCCAGGAGCUGGUGGAGAAACGCAAGUCCUCAGAGACGUGGAUGGUGGAUUUCUAUGCUCCAUGGUGUGGCCCCUGCCAGGCCCUACUGCCAGAGUGGAGGAGAAUGGCACGGAUGCUGAGUGGGAUUGUAAACGUGGGAACGGUUGACUGCCAGAAACACCACUCGUUCUGCCAGGGCGAGAAUGUGCGCGCUUACCCAGAGAUCCGCCUGUUUCCUCAGAACAGCAACCGCAGGGACCAGUACCAGAGUUACAAUGGGUGGCACCGGGAUGCCUUUUCACUCAAGACUUGGGCCUUGAGCUCUCUGCCUCGUGCCUCAGUGGAUCUGUCACCUGAGGACUUUAAGAGAAAGGUUUUGGGAGGGAAGGAUCACUGGGUGUUGGAUUUCUACGCCCCAUGGUGUGGCCCAUGCCAGCAAUUUGCCCCUGAGUUUGAAGUUCUUGCCAGGAUGAUGAAGGGAACUGUGCGAGCUGGCAAAGUGGACUGUCAAGCACACUACCAGACCUGCCAGAGCGCCGGGAUCAAGGCUUACCCCAGUGUCCGAUUCUACCCCCACCUGGGCACCACACGGCGAGAUCAAGGAGGAGAGCAUAUUAACAGCAGAGACGCCACAGUCAUCGCAGAUAUUCUCCGACAGAGACUCCAGCAGCUAGCAUUACUGGGAAAGUCCUCCAAACUUAAAGAUGAACUAUAGGACACAUCUUGAGAUCCACAGAAGCUGCUGUAUGUGGAGCGGUGAGAGUGAUGGGAGAAAACGCACACUCAUGAACUCACUUUGGUGUGAAUGUUCUCCAGGUGGCCACUAGGAGGCGAUGAUUUAACAUCAAUGGCUUCAAGUCCUCAUAGGCCUGUGAAGUGACAUGUUGGCAGUCAUUGUCAUGGAUAUUCACUAUUGUUUUGUAGAAAUAACAGCUAUUAAACAUGACACAAUUCUCGUUUAUGCUGAACACUGCUUUCUGAUAUUUUGCUACUGAGUUGUCACAAUUCUAUAAAGCACACAUCAACUAAAUUUCUAAUAUUUCCUGAGAAAACAGGAUAAAUAUUGUUACAGCGUUCUAAUGAUUACUUUAAGUUGUGAAGUGGGUCAACUUAUAAGGUUAUCAGUAAGAAUGUAAUGUUUUAUGACCCUUUAUCACUCUCUUUGAAUUAAACAGGCCUUCUCUCCCCUUAUUUGCACA